UGCCUUUGACUGAAAGCUUAGGAGUCUAGUCUGUAAUAUUUUCCAACAGACUCCACUGAAGAUAUUUCAUUUGGCUUAAAUGCUGGGAUGUACAAGAGCUGAACAAUAAUUUUUGCAAGUCGUGAAUUGCAUGAAGAGGAAACACUUGUGUGUCUUGAAGAGAACUUACACUAAAGAGAAGAUACACUAAACACAAACCCAUUUUGUCAAUGAAUGCAAGUGGGAAAACUUAGGAUUCUACCCAGCAAACAAGAUUCCUUCUACAUAGAAGGGAGUCAGGAACAUCUAAUUUGGUUCGACACCAUGAAGGACAAAGACUCAGAUCUCCUUUUUUUUUGCUCCUAAAAGCUUCAAGACUAAACUCCGUGAAUUAUCAGUGAUAGCAAAUUUUCGAAUAUCUUAAUAUUUAUUUUAUGUGCUUUCACAUGUCUCUGCUGAUCCGCGCAUGUGAGGAAAUGUGCCUACAGUGUCCAGAAGAGGGCGCUGGAACCCCUGGAGCUAGAGUUAUGCACAGUUGUGAGGCAUGGUGCUCCUGGGAACUCAACUGGGGUUCUCUGAAAGAACAGAACAUGCUCUUCACUGCUGAAGCAUUUACCUAGUAGGAAUAAGACAGUUUUAUCCCGCCAUCCUUGGAGGGGUGCCACAAUCUAGAUAUAAAAUGAAAAGGUAGAUUAUACCUCGGAGACUACAAACAUCAUCUUAAGAAGACAGUCUUUAGAAGUGAUGAAGAUUUGAGUUAGGUCUUGAAAGCAGCAUCGUGGAGAGGAAGGAAAUAGCUCUUUGAAAACUGCAUGAGCGGAGUCAACAGAAAUUGAGGCCGAGCACGUAUGAUUAAUGCCAACCUGUCUGGAACAUGCCUCCAUCACUCCACCGUCUUCCCAUCUUUCUUAGAUGCUGAGAAAAUGCUUUUCACAGCUAUGAUGACACAGCCAGAAAUAUCACCUUUUGAAGACAUCGUAACUGUGAGAUAUGACACUCGUUUGGCCGUUAGGAGGUUAUUUGCUGUGGCCAUUAAAUACAGCCCUGUCACUUCCGCUCACCUGGGCUAUAUUUCCUCCUUCAAUAGACUAUCCAUAAAUAUCAGCUCAGGUAUAAAUAGAAAUAAUGCAUAUUUUCAGCUAAAGAAGACAUGCGCAGCAGAAUACUGCUGGAGGGGCAAAGUAGCAAGCCUUCUCUACGUGGGCUUUGCAAGUCCAGAGGCUGUAUGUUCUGGUGAGGUCUCAGAACUCAAAUCGGUAUGAUCUCUUUAGGUCAGUUAGGCCUCACACACAGCUACUAAAUUCAAGAAUAUUCUAGACUUCCCACUUGUUGGCCCAAUUUUUUUUUCUGCCACUUGAUAAUUGGAAUGAAUUCCUCGUGGUCAGAACUUAAUUCUAGUUACUUUUAAUACUGUUAACAAUACAUUAAACUUAAAUGUUCCCAAACGUUAAGGAGAUGAAUGAUAUACUCAUUGAACUCAAAUAAUUUUGUAUAUUCUCAUUUAAUACUUGAGAACUUUCUUAGGGAUCUGCUGAUCUACACAAAAAAUAUCACAAACCAAGGCUAACACUUUUACUCUUGUUCAAGAGUAAGACAACGAUGCUACCUGUGUGCGAUUUUGUAGCACAAGUGGCUAGCACUGUAGGUGUUUAUAGAAAAAGGCUGACCAUCAGUUCCCUGUGAUUGACAGCUUACCUGAGCUCUGUAGAAGAGAGACAACAGGAGCUUUUGGCUGGACAUCCUGGGGAAUGAGCCAAAAAAGAGAAACCAAGAAUAUUCCUAACGUACAUGGACGUAUUUUCUGGAAAACCCCGAGGAGUGGCUAGCUCGUGAGAAUCUGCAUGUUUACGGCAUUUACUCUGGGAAAAUUAAGGCUUGAAUGGAAUUUGCAGACUUGGAAAAUUUACAGCUCUGAUUUUAGUGAUGCUCACCAUGACUUGCUAAUCCACAGCCUCCCCUUGACAGGAGUGCUUAUGUUCUAGAUCCUUCAAUGUAUCUUGACCAAGUGAAAUAGAGCCCAUGGAGGGGUGAGACUUAGCAUCACUUUGUGACUCAAGAGAGAUCAACCUACUUCAGAGAAGAAAGGCAUUAACUCAUUCAUAGAUGCUUCGAUUCUGUCCCAGAAAUGUACCCGAUGUUCAAGCCCGGAAUGCGCAUCUCUCAAGCACAUGGCCAUGACUACUGAGCGCCUGCUCUAAGGCACCUGUGCGUGGAUCUGCAACCUCAUCGGGCAUCCUGGUCACUGUCUCUCUGGCAACUUAUUUGGCUUUAUUUCCUUUCAUAGGAAUUAACAUGGCUUUUCUGCGCAUG
RNAcentral lists this small RNA (2289 nucleotides) under Rattus norvegicus (Norway rat). RNAcentral's name for it is "uncharacterized LOC102553626". Lineage: Eukaryota; Metazoa; Chordata; Mammalia; Rodentia; Muridae. The record is from RNAcentral.